Molecule: unclassified non-coding RNA, 210 nt
Filed under: Hevea brasiliensis (rubber tree)
Lineage: Eukaryota; Viridiplantae; Streptophyta; Magnoliopsida; Malpighiales; Euphorbiaceae
Source: RNAcentral
GUGUGCACUAUUGGCCCUGCUACUUGCGGCUUUGAUCAGCUCGAGGCGCUCGCUGUUGGCGGUAUGAAUGUCGCUAGGAUCAAUAUGUGCCAUGGGACUCGAGACUGGCAUCGGACGGUCAUUGAACGCGUGCGAAGGCUCAAUGAAGAGAAGGGUUAUGCUGUCGCUAUCAUGAUGGAUACUGAAGGGAGUGAAAUUCACAUGGGUGAU